UUAAGUCCGCAACGAGCGCAACCCUUAUCUUAAUUGCCAGCAUUCAGUUGGGCACUUUAAAGAGACUGCCGGUGUUAAACCGGAGGAAGGUGGGGAUGACGUCAAGUCCUCAUGGCCUUUAUGCUUAGGGCUACACACGUGCUACAAUGGGUGGUACAAAGAGAAGCCAACUCGCGAGAGCGCGCCAAUCUCAAAAAGCCAUCCUCAGUUCGGAUUGGAGUCUGCAACUCGACUCCAUGAAGUUGGAAUCGCUAGUAAUCGCGGAUCAGCAUGCCGCGGUGAAUACGUUCCCGGGCCUU
This 299-nucleotide ribosomal RNA is filed under the name uncultured Smithella sp. RNAcentral's name for it is "partial 16S ribosomal RNA". It matches the Rfam family "Bacterial small subunit ribosomal RNA", at positions 1080 to 1382 of the family's 1533-position model. The record is from RNAcentral. Lineage: Bacteria; Pseudomonadati; Thermodesulfobacteriota; Syntrophia; Syntrophales; Smithellaceae.